UACGUAGGGGGCAAGCGUUGUCCGGAAUUAUUGGGCGUAAAGAGCGCGUAGGCGGUCCGAUAAGUCGGCUGUGAAAGUCAGGGGCUCAACCCUUGAAAGCCGGCCGAUACUGUCGGACUAGAGUCCGGAAGAGGCAAGUGGAAUUCCCGGUGUAGCGGUGAAAUGCGCAGAUAUCGGGAGGAACACCAGUGGCGAAGGCGGUUCUCUGGGACGGUACUGACGCUGAGACGCGAAAGCGUGGGGAGCGAACAGG
This 253-nucleotide ribosomal RNA is filed under the name uncultured bacterium. Its description in RNAcentral is "partial 16S ribosomal RNA". It matches the Rfam family "Bacterial small subunit ribosomal RNA", at positions 524 to 776 of the family's 1533-position model. The record is from RNAcentral.